AGUGAACGCUGGCGGUAGGCCUAACACAUGCAAGUCGAACGGCAGCACAGUAAGAGCUUGCUCUUACGGGUGGCGAGUGGCGGACGGGUGAGGAAUACAUCGGAAUCUACUUUUUCGUGGGGGAUAACGUAGGGAAACUUACGCUAAUACCGCAUACGACCUACGGGUGAAAGCAGGGGAUCUUCGGACCUUGCGCGAUUGAAUGAGCCGAUGUCGGAUUAGCUAGUUGGCGGGGUAAAGGCCCACCAAGGCGACGAUCCGUAGCGGGUCUGGGGGGGUGAUCAGCCACAGUGGAACUGGAACACGGGCCGGACUCCUACGGGGGGCAGCAGGGGGGAAUAUGGGACAAGGGCGCAAGCCUGAUCCAGCCAUACCGCGUGGGUGAAGAAGGCCUUCGGGUUGUAAAGCCCUUUUGUUGGGAAAGAAAAGCAGCAGGUUAAUACCCCGCUGUUCUGACGGUACCCAAAGAAUAAGCACCGGCUAACUUCGUG
RNAcentral lists this ribosomal RNA (491 nucleotides) under uncultured bacterium. RNAcentral's name for it is "partial 16S ribosomal RNA". It matches the Rfam family "Bacterial small subunit ribosomal RNA", at positions 29 to 507 of the family's 1533-position model. The record is from RNAcentral.